UCGCCAUCGAAAUGACUACCGCUACAAUCGACCAAUCAACCAUGACUUGAGCCUGUCGCCUGCAGUCCGUGGAGAAAAGUAGCUUUUUUUUCUGGUAAAGUUACACUGGGUACAUGGGCCACAUCAAUAAUAUACCGUCCGGCACAUUGUCUAGGAAAGUACUACGUGGCUGUGGUGGAAGAUCAGACCUCACCACCAUUUGACUGAUGUUGGGGGCGUGUCUGAAGACUACCCGUCGGGGUUCUUUAAUCGUCUUUUCCAGUUGUGGAUCAAUGAUCAAGACGUGCCAGUGUUUUAAUGAUGUGGUCCAACUGUUUACCAAGUGGGGAGAACUGAAGGAAGCAUUGAACAUGUUGGUCUGGAGGGAGGGAGGUUUGGGGAGUACUGAAGGAAGCAUUGAACAUGUUGGUCUGGAGGGAGGGAGGUUUGGGGAGUACUGAAGGAAGCAUUGAACAUGUUGGUCUGGAGGGAGGGAGGUUUGGGGAGUACUGAAGGAAGCAUUGAACAUGUUGAUCUGGAGGGAGGGAGGUUUGGGGAGAACUGAAGGAAGCAUUGAACGUGUUGGUCUGAAGGGAGGGGAGGUUUGGGGAGUACUGAAGGAAGCAUUGAACAUGUUGCUCUGAAGGGAGGGAGGUUUGGGGAGUACUGAAGGAAGCAUUGAACAUGUUGGUCUGGAGGGAGGGAGGUUUGGGGAGAACUGAAGGAAGCAUUGAACACGUUGGUCUGAAGGGAGGGGAGGUUUGGGGAGAACUGAAGGAAGCAUUGAACAUGUUGAUCUGGAGGGAGGGAGGUUUGGGGAGAACUGAAGGAAGCAUUGAACGUGUUGGUCUGGAGGGAGGGAGGUUUGGGGAGUACUGAAGGAAGCAUUGAACGUGUUGGUCUGGAGGGAGGGAGGUUUGGGGAGUACUGAAGGAAGCAUUGAACGUGUUGGUCUG
Molecule: long non-coding RNA, 935 nt
Filed under: Salmo salar (Atlantic salmon)
Lineage: Eukaryota; Metazoa; Chordata; Actinopteri; Salmoniformes; Salmonidae
Description: lncRNA (ENSSSAG00000095119.1)
Source: RNAcentral